UAGAUAGGAUGUUGUUUUUACAAUUAUUGG
Molecule: non-coding RNA, 30 nt
Filed under: Rattus norvegicus (Norway rat)
Lineage: Eukaryota; Metazoa; Chordata; Mammalia; Rodentia; Muridae
Source: RNAcentral